Long non-coding RNA from Camelus dromedarius (Arabian camel), 591 nucleotides. RefSeq lists it as uncharacterized. The record is from RefSeq and is a predicted model, not a curated record. The transcript is spliced from 3 exons. Lineage: Eukaryota; Metazoa; Chordata; Mammalia; Artiodactyla; Camelidae.
UAAGUGCCUAACCUUGAAUUAAUGUAUUAGUAGUUGAGUGUGGUAGAAAGAACAUAACCUCUGUAAUUAUUUGUUAAAAUGGCUGGCAGCUCCAUGAGAGUGGGGAUGAUGUAAUUCUUGUGCAUUACUGUAUUUCCCCACCUAGCACAGUAGAUGCAACCCUUGACAAAUGAAAUGCUACAAAGCAACAAUAAUCAAAACAACGUAGUAUUGGCAUAAAAGCAGACAUAUGGAUCAACGGAGCAGAAUAGAGAGCCCAGAAAUAAACCCACACACCUAUGGUCAAUUAAUCUUGGCAAAAGGGAGGCAAGAACAUAUAAUGAAGAAAAGACAGUCUCUUCAGCAAGUGGUGUUGGGAAAGCUGGACAGCUGCAGAUGGAACAUAUUCGCCCACCUUCCAACCACUUCCACAACUCUCUCUGCCCAGCAGAGAAUUAUGGGGUGCGGAUACACAGCAGUGGGCCGGGAAGUAGCACUCGCGUCAGGCCAGCGGACCAGCACAACUCACUCUGCAGUCGGCGCCGCGCCCUCCGUUUCCAAGGUGACCGGCGCGCUAGGGCGUCCCCUCCCAGGACCCAACGGUGCGGCGAG